GAUGAACGCUGGCGGCGUGCUUAACACAUGCAAGUCGAACGAAGCACUUUAUUUGAUUUCCUUCGGGACUGAUUAUUUUGUGACUGAGUGGCGGACGGGUGAGUAACGCGUGGGUAACCUGCCUUGUACAGGGGGAUAACAGUUGGAAACGGCUGCUAAUACCGCAUAAGCGCACAGCAUCGCAUGAUGCAGUGUGAAAAACUCCGGUGGUAUAAGAUGGACCCGCGUUGGAUUAGCUAGUUGGUGAGGUAACGGCCCACCAAGGCGACGAUCCAUAGCCGAACUGAGAGGGUGACCGGCCACAUUGGGACUGAGACACGGCCCAAACUCCUACGGGAGGCAGCAGUGGGGAAUAUUGCACAAUGGGCGAAAGCCUGAUGCAGCGACGCCGCGUGAGCGAAGAAGUAUUUCGGUAUGUAAAGCUCUAUAAGCAGGGAAGAUAAUGACGGUACCUGACUAAGAAGCACCGGCUAAAUACGUG
RNAcentral lists this ribosomal RNA (481 nucleotides) under uncultured bacterium. RNAcentral describes it as "partial 16S ribosomal RNA". It matches the Rfam family "Bacterial small subunit ribosomal RNA", at positions 28 to 507 of the family's 1533-position model. The record is from RNAcentral.